CCAGCCGUAAACGCUGAAUGCUAGGUGUGGGUGUCGCAGGGCAUCCGUGCCGCAGUUAACGCGUUAAGCAUUCCGCCUGGGGAGUACGAUCGCAAGAUUGAAACUCAAAGGAAUUGACGGGGGCCCGCACAAGCGGUGGAGCACGUGGUUUAAUUCGAUGCAAACCGAAGAACCUUACCUGGGUUUGACAUGUACGUAUUAGGGGCAUGAAAGUGUUCUGACCCUAUUUUCGGAUGGGGAGCGUACACAGGUGC
This 254-nucleotide ribosomal RNA is filed under the name uncultured Thermovirga sp. Its description in RNAcentral is "partial 16S ribosomal RNA". It matches the Rfam family "Bacterial small subunit ribosomal RNA", at positions 796 to 1041 of the family's 1533-position model. Lineage: Bacteria; Thermotogati; Synergistota; Synergistia; Synergistales; Thermovirgaceae. The record is from RNAcentral.